RNAcentral lists this ribosomal RNA (493 nucleotides) under uncultured bacterium. Its description in RNAcentral is "bacterial SSU rRNA". It matches the Rfam family "Bacterial small subunit ribosomal RNA", at positions 15 to 507 of the family's 1533-position model. The record is from RNAcentral.
GAUCAUGGCUCAGGAUGAACGCUGGCGGCGUGCUUAACACAUGCAAGUCGAACGAAGCACUUUAUUACGAUUUCUUCGGAAUGACGAUUUAGUGACUGAGUGGCGGACGGGUGAGUAACGCGUGGGUAACCUGCCUUAUACAGGGGGAUAACAGUUGGAAACGACUGCUAAUACCGCAUAAGCGCACGGUAUCGCAUGAUACAGUGUGAAAAACUCCGGUGGUAUAAGAUGGACCCGCGUCUGAUUAGCUUGUUGGUGAGGUAACGGCCCACCAAGGCGACGAUCAGUAGCCGGCCUGAGAGGGUGAACGGCCACAUUGGGACUGAGACACGGCCCAAACUCCUACGGGAGGCAGCAGUGGGGAAUAUUGCACAAUGGGGGAAACCCUGAUGCAGCGACGCCGCGUGAGUGAUGAAGUAUUUCGGUAUGUAAAACUCUAUCAGCAGGGAAGAUAAUGACGGUACCUGACUAAGAAGCACCGGCUAAAUACGUG